UGGGGAAUUUUGGACAAUGGGCGAAAGCCUGAUCCAGCAAUGCCGCGUGUGUGAAGAAGGCCUUCGGGUUGUAAAGCACUUUUGUCCGGAAAGAAAUCCUUGGCUCUAAUACAGUCGGGGGAUGACGGUACCGGAAGAAUAAGCACCGGCUAACUACGUGCCAGCAGCCGCGGUAAUACGUAGGGUGCAAGCGUUAAUCGGAAUUACUGGGCGUAAAGCGUGCGCAGGCGGUUUGCUAAGACCGAUGUGAAAUCCCCGGGCUCAACCUGGGAACUGCAUUGGUGACUGGCAGGCUAGAGUAUGGCAGAGGGGGGUAGAAUUCCACGUGUAGCAGUGAAAUGCGUAGAGAUGUGGAGGAAUACCGAUGGCGAAGGCAGCCCCCUGGGCCAAUACUGACGCUCAUGCACGAAAGCGUGGGGAGCAAACAGGAUUAGAUACCCUGGUAGUCCACGCCCUAAACGAUGUCAACUAGUUGUUGGGGAUUCAUUUCCUUAGUAACGUAGCUAACGCGUGAAGUUGACCGCCUGGGGAGUACGGUCGCAAGAUUAAAGCUUAAAUGAAUUGACGGGGUCAUAGCUGUUUCCU
RNAcentral lists this ribosomal RNA (585 nucleotides) under uncultured bacterium. Its description in RNAcentral is "partial 16S ribosomal RNA". It matches the Rfam family "Bacterial small subunit ribosomal RNA", at positions 355 to 1375 of the family's 1533-position model. The record is from RNAcentral.